This 3024-nucleotide unclassified non-coding RNA is filed under the name Actinia tenebrosa (Australian red waratah sea anemone). Its description in RNAcentral is "tyramine receptor 1-like, transcript variant X10". The record is from RNAcentral. Lineage: Eukaryota; Metazoa; Cnidaria; Anthozoa; Actiniaria; Actiniidae.
UAUACCUGCACAGUAUAGAGAAGUGAGAAAAACUCAGUCGAGAAUUUUAGUCUCCAUACAACAGCCAACUUCAGUGCAUAUGAAGGUUUUUNGUAUUAACAAUAAAACGCCAUAGGAAAAAGACUUCUUGAAGAGAAGUGCUCCACCUGUCCACCGCUCUGUGUGUACAACCUCUAGGUCUGAUAUUUCCGGCUUGGACUUUACUACACGUACCACGAAACAAGACUUAUUAAUCAAAGGGACAACAAUAGAGGAGUCUAUACUUUGAAAGCACUCUCUAAUUUGAUAACUAAAAGAUAACCCAAGAGCUGAGCCGUCAAAUGCUGGUUUCUAUAAAGGGCGACAACUGACGGAAUGCGUCCAUGAAAAUCAAUUCAAAAGAUCAUUCCUCUCGAGCAACAAGCAACAUUACAUCGAACUCUUUAUUAGCAAGUAUGAACACCAUGGCUAACAUCACUGCAAAUGCCACUGGGAAUGCCUUACAAGCAGUAGUUAAUACGUUGGCCAGCAAUACGUUGAAUGCUACUGUGAAACCUUUAUUGAUGAAUACCCUGGCCAACAUCACAGCGAAUACUACACAAAGCACCUAUAUACCCACCAAUACCCUGCUCAACAUGACGGCAAAUUCUACAGAAAGUUCUGUAUUAGCGAGUACACUGGCCAAUGUUACCAACUCUACAUCGACCGCCGUUUUAAUGACACUGGCCACCUUCUCAAGCAAUUCUACACCGAGUACUUCAUUCGUAAAAACAAUGGCUGACUUCACGACGAGCAAUGUAUCAGAUACGUCGUUCCAAGCUACGGUUAAUACCCUUUUUAACGUUACUAACGGGACGGGCAUUCACGGUGGUAUGGGUGCAUUCAACCCUACUGUAUCGAACGUCAUUGCAGCGAUUUUCACUGGGAUCCUUAUCAUUCUUACUCUUGGAGGAAACUCUAUAGUGUGUGCGAGUUUCUACACUUUUCACGAUCUCAGGACGAUUUGUAACUAUUUUAUCAUAUCACUGAGUGUGGCUGAUAUUCUUGUGUCGUUGUUCGCUAUGCCGUUUUGGUUAGUUGUGCAGCUCAAUAGCAAUGCGUGGAAUUACAACCCAACACUGAAAGCCUUUUGGGAUUGUAUGGACAUACUAUGUGGUACUGCAUCGAUCAUGAAUCUCACUGCGGUAAGCUUUGAUAGACAGCUGGCAAUCACAUCCCCAUUCUCGUACCCCAAGAUACUGACAAGACGUCGUGCUAUCUUACUCAUAUGUUGCGUAUGGCUCUACGCUACGGGCAUGGCGUGUGCCAGACUGAUAGAGUGGCCCUUUCCAAGCUAUCUUCACUUCGUAGCAACUUUUAGUUUUUUUCUACCGCUGUCGAUUAUGCUCGUCAUGUACACUCGAAUUUAUCUAAUUGCUCGCUACCACGCACGUCGCAUUGGAAAGAACUACGCGAACGAUAUCAAAGCAGCCAAAACGAUAGCAGUCGUUAUUGGUGUCUUUACGUGUUGUUGGUGCCCAUUCUUUGUGGUCGUGCUUCUAUACGCAUACAAUGGGAGGGGGUACCGCAUGCCAUUUCAAAUCUACAAUUUGACCAAGUGGUUAGAAUAUCUCAACAGUUGUCUCAAUCCCAUUAUAUACACGUGUCUUAAUCGCACAUACAGAAGAGCAUUUAGAAAGCUAUUUACUCGAUGCCGGAAGAAAAUUCGCCGGGAGUCUGAGUGUUCAAGUGCAAGUACAUGGCACAACACUGAUCAAAGACAAUCUGUUUCGCAUGUAAGUGGCUACCCUUCGAACUUUAAAACAAGAACUUAUUUAGCAAAUGGCAGGAACGCUAUGUUACCGACAGUCGAUGAAGGCACUGAUGUAUGACCUCAUUAGGAAAAGGGGAAAGCUAAUAUAUAUGCAAUGAGUUUCGCUAAAUACUAUCUAUGUUAUGCAAGAAGCAAAGGAUGGAGCAGCUGCACCAUUGUACCUCAAAAAGAAAAGGGUAGAGGCUUUAUGGGACUAAUCUGACGCAACUCAGACUCUAUAGAAUGUAGGCACUAAGUAUAUAGAAGAUAAGGGGGUGUAUACCCCCUUUCUUUCCUCUUAUAAAGUCCUGUCUUCACAACCCCAUUGGGGCGACGAGAAACCUCAUUUCUUCAUGUAUUUAAAGCUGAAGAAACGGACGUGCUCUUUUAGGUUUAAAAAAUGUCUUUAGCAAAGAAUUCACGACGCUAGAAAACACUUUUGUAUUUCUCAUCAAUAGAAAAUAAAUUAUAUGGAAAAAAAUAAAAGAACGAGAUGGUAAUCUGAGUAGAAGCAAUAGGUUGGAACAAUCUGUGACCAUACAACUGUUUACCUCUACUUAUCUCCCAAUGAUAAAAAAUACAUAUCAAUCAACUAAAGGAUUUUUUCAAGUAAUGCCUGGAGAUCGUAACAUACUUGCGUCAGUAAACAGUUCACAAAUUACUUCAGGCACGCACUGUUAUUAAUUCAUCAAGGACAAAUAAAAUUAAAAAAGAGAGAAAGAAAGAAACGGGUUGUCAGUUCAAGAUAGUUAGUUUUUGUCAUAUUAUGAUCUUACAACACCAAGGCCAGUAUCUUAGGUCAAUCCUUUAUGUGUUUUCCUUUAUUAUGAUCCUGUGAUAUCCAUCAAAGAAAACUAUAGGGGACAAAAUAUUAUUCAAAUCAAAUGAAGUAUAAGCCCUACUUUGUUUUCUAAGUCAAGUAAGUCGUGUGUUGAGAUUCAAAAGACACUACUAAAAGUAUCAUUUGAAUCCUCAGUGGUGGUUUCAGAAAUCCAUUUCGACACUACCGCAAACUUCGUUUUGAACCCAGACAAACAAGCGCAAUAUGAUAGACGCGACUGAAUAAAGCUGACUAGUGCAAUGAAAUGAAAAAAAAAUCGGCAGGACAUUCAACAACAAAACGGUGGCUAUUAGUUUUAAUUACUCGCGUACUACGAUGUUUAAUAAAAACAACAUAGCAAAAAUAAUACACCUGUAAUAAACAAAAUGGCUCGGAAUUAAUGCUUACGAAAACACGGUGGGAAAAGACAUUC